Molecule: ribosomal RNA, 533 nt
Filed under: Nakazawaea holstii
Lineage: Eukaryota; Fungi; Ascomycota; Pichiomycetes; Alaninales; Pachysolenaceae
Description: partial large subunit ribosomal RNA
Rfam family: Eukaryotic large subunit ribosomal RNA
Source: RNAcentral
AAACCAACAGGGAUUGCCUUAGUAACGGCGAGUGAAGCGGCAAAAGCUCAAAUUUGAAAUCUAGCACUUUCAGUGUUCGAGUUGUAAUUUGAAGAAGGUAUCUUUGGAGUUGGCCCCUGUCUAUGUUCCUUGGAACAGGACGUCACAGAGGGUGAGAAUCCCGUGCGAUGGGGAGACCAAUUCUAUGUAAAGUUCCUUCGAAGAGUCGAGUUGUUUGGGAAUGCAGCUCUAAGUGGGUGGUAAAUUCCAUCUAAAGCUAAAUAUUGGCGAGAGACCGAUAGCGAACAAGUACAGUGAUGGAAAGAUGAAAAGAACUUUGAAAAGAGAGUGAAAAAGUACGUGAAAUUGUUGAAAGGGAAGGGCUUUUGAUCAGACUUGGUGUUUAGUACUCUCUACUCCUUGUGGGUGGGGCUCUUGCUUUAUACUGGGCCAGCAUCGGUUUGGAUGGCAGGAUAAUGACUUUGGAAUGUGGCUUCAUUCGUGGAGUGUUAUAGCCUUUGUUGAUACUGCCUAUCUAGACCGAGGACUGCGUC